Long non-coding RNA from Pleuronectes platessa (European plaice), 806 nucleotides. RefSeq lists it as uncharacterized. NCBI's taxonomy places the organism in Eukaryota, Metazoa, Chordata, Actinopteri, Pleuronectiformes, Pleuronectidae. The transcript is spliced from 4 exons. The record is from RefSeq and is a predicted model, not a curated record.
UGUUGGCAGUAAGUAAGGGAGCGUUGACUGCCGAGUGUCACACCCAGAUUCCUAAGUGUCUGGGUGGGGGCUAACACGGAGUGUUCAAAGACACACGAACACGUCUCCCUCUCCUGCUUGGACUGCCCCCUCCCAUUUUUGAAUGGAGGAGGAACCGAACACGAUUGGAACAUUGUGCCCUGACUGUUGACUGCCAGGCACGCAGCUUGUGGGCCUCACCAGCAGGUGUAUCCAGUGUGUUCGAAGGGAAACUGAGGUCAUGCUGGAGCCUCAGUCUGAAUAGUUCUCAUUUGCAAUCGAUCAGCGUUGGUAUGGCUCAUCCCCAUUGACCUCUUCAACAGAAGAACACAGCGGUAAGGCAGCAUCUCUUCCAAAUCAACAACCUGACCUGUCCACCUGCUCGGUAUGUCUGCAAGAGGAAAUGCUUCCAUUUAUUUGCAUGGUUAAAUGCUGAACAGGUAUUGCACAGUGGGGUUUGGUUUGUUGGGCUCCUUUGCUUGGUUGCUGCUGCAGCCAGAACCAAGUCCAGAAGAGCAGUGAGAGUGAGAGUGGACCAAGGCAGUGGAGUUGUGGGCCAGAUGGACAAACUACAUGCUGAAGCUCACUAUGAAGCUGCCAAAAGGAGUGACCCCUGUCACAGUCACAUUCUUCAAUCCACUGAUAUUAUUCAAAACAAAUAGCUGCAUGUAAAGUGUAUGUAAAUAGUGUGUCCAAUUUAUCAUUGGAGGGAUUUGGAAACAUGUGUAUGUUACUGACUGGGGACCAUAUGAAUACAUAAAUGAAUAAACAAACACAGUUAUACAAGA